Non-coding RNA from Camelina sativa (false flax), 1316 nucleotides. Lineage: Eukaryota; Viridiplantae; Streptophyta; Magnoliopsida; Brassicales; Brassicaceae. The record is from RefSeq and is a predicted model, not a curated record.
GUAAGAUUUAAGAUCGUUUCGUUGCAACAAAAAAACAGGGGUAGCAAAACGCGAGAUCCGAUUGGCCGAAAUUUUAGACAAAAGUUUUUUUUUUUUUGUUUCUUUUUUUUCUUUCUCUAGUGCUCGAGAGACGGUGAUGACGAAAACGAAGACAUGCUCUAUGCUUCUGCUGAAAAUUAGGGUCCUUUGUUGUUUGGAUUUUAAUCGGAAGAAUGGAUUUGACGGUGGUUGGAGUAGGCGCCGUGGUGUUGCUAUUGAAGGGCGACGUCAAGCAAACUGCCACCGUCGUAAGGUGUAACGUCAAGCACAUCCGUCACUAGCUCGAAGAAGAAUCCUCUGCCGCCUCCAAGUCGUAAUUCUGCUCUCUCUUGAUUCCUUAUGAUUUCUCCUUUGCGAAGGUGUGUUAUGUUUGUUAGUUUGGUGGGGUUUGUGGUUUCGUAAACCGGUUCACUCUCUCAUUUUCGAUUUUUUGCCGUGAGCUUAGUUGUGUUGGAAAGCUUAUGGUAUGAAUAUAAUAUCAGUUGUUUAAAUUCUAGGAUCAUCUGAGAUUUUGUAACUUGAGUAAAACAUAAAAAGAUUGAUUAUGAUGGCAGUGGUUUGGGUGGGCAUAGUUGUGUGAUUGAGCAAAAGUGUGACACUAUAUAUAAUGGUUCUUUGGAUUGAAGUGGUAGAUUUGAAGAAUUUUUUUGAAAGAAUUUGACUUAAGUAUUAUCUUAAUUGAAUCUAAUAUGUUUCUGAUUUGGUAUUUUGUUUGCAUCGACGAGGAGAGUUCCAGGUAUGUUGCAGGACAACAGUUGGCUCUUGUUUUAAACUCCCUGCUGGUGCAGAGGACAACAGUUGGCUCUUGCGUUCAUUCUGUGUGCUCGCUUCUGAUGCAGAGGUAAAAAGAGCUUUGUCAUACUCUCUUUUUGUUUGUAAAUGACAGAGAGAGAAAGAAACUUUAGUGGAUUUUAUGGCUUGUAUGUUUCAGUUAACAAUGGGUAGUAGGUUUCUGUUAUGUAUAUUUGCCUGUAUUUCAGGCAGAAAGUGCUGUUUCUGCGAUUUAUUGUAGUGGUAUUGUCUUGAGAGGGCUUCCAAUAAGGGUAAGUCCGUCAAAGACGCCAGUAAACUAAAGCUUAUCACUAUGGCCUUGAUUGGAAGAGCAUACAAAGAAGCUUUUUUUAUUUUAUCAUCCAAUCAACAUUUAUUAGGAGAGCAUAUAAGGGAGCAUUUAGAAGCUGCAGAUGCUUUCAUAUGCUCUCUUCUUAUAUGUUCUGAAACAUUUCCUAAGCAUAUAACUCUAAAAUAUUAAUAUAUAUUAAAAUCAUUUUAAAUAA